GAUGAACGCUGGCGGCGUACCUAAUACAUGCAAGUCGAGCGAACAGACGAGGAGCUUGCUCCUUUGACGUUAGCGGCGGACGGGUGAGUAACACGUAGGUAACCUACCUAUAAGACUGGGAUAACUUCGGGAAACCGGAGCUAAUACCGGAUAAUAUUUCGAACCGCAUGGUUCGAUAGUGAAAGAUGGCUUUGCUAUCACUUAUAGAUGGACCUGCGCCGUAUUAGCUAGUUGGUAAGGUAACGGCUUACCAAGGCAACGAUACGUAGCCGACCUGAGAGGGUGAUCGGCCACACUGGAACUGAGACACGGUCCAGACUCCUACGGGAGGCAGCAGUAGGGAAUCUUCCGCAAUGGGCGAAAGCCUGACGGAGCAACGCCGCGUGAGUGAUGAAGGUCUUCGGAUCGUAAAACUCUGUUAUUAGGGAAGAACAAACGUGUAAGUAACUGUGCACGUCUUGACGGUACCUAAUCAGAAAGCCACGGCUAACUACGUG
Molecule: ribosomal RNA, 497 nt
Filed under: uncultured bacterium
Lineage: Bacteria
Description: partial 16S ribosomal RNA
Rfam family: Bacterial small subunit ribosomal RNA
Source: RNAcentral